Macrobrachium nipponense is the source of this 837-nucleotide long non-coding RNA. RefSeq lists it as uncharacterized. The record is from RefSeq and is a predicted model, not a curated record. NCBI's taxonomy places the organism in Eukaryota, Metazoa, Arthropoda, Malacostraca, Decapoda, Palaemonidae. The transcript has 5 exons.
UCAGGUUUUCAGUUGGACGGCCGAAAGAACUGAAGCCCGCCGCCAGUGUUUGUUCAUGUCCUUAAAAUGUUGUGACUGCGAGUAUUUGAGAUAUUGGCAGCCAUGGAAUAGACUUUUGUGGUCACUAAUAAGUUUUUUACGAGAAACUUCGACGAGUCAUAGUUGUUCCUUUCGAGGACUCUGUGCUAAGGAUAUUUUUUCGUCGAUGAAGUGUGUUAAUGCAAUGCCGUGAAGCAAGUCUUUUAAAUACGCCUCACUCUACUCCCAGAUUCAUGCAUGAGGAAACUGGAAUAAGAGAUUCGACUACCAAGAUCCUGUAAGAAUCUCCAUUAUAAGAUAUAUAAUAUUCUUAACCUUUUGCAAUAGCAACCUUCCAAGAACUUUAGUCUGUCGGUUACCAGUUCAUGGAUUGGGGAGGACCAUUUUUUGAGUGUUUAUUCUGCUUCUGCCAUGAAACUGAAAACUCUUCAAUAGUACUUCCAGAUAAUUUCUGCCGCUCCUCGUAGGAUACAAGGGAUGCCUCGGAGAAUUCUCGACCUAAAAUAAAUGUCAAAUGCCAGUCCCGUCAGGUCAUCUAAACAUUCACGUCACGUUAUGUCAACAUUUCAGAACUGCCGUCAUGCCAAUAUUUGCCACAGAGAAUAUAAGCAAGUUGAAUGUGAAGGCAGUUGAACGUGUGUGAGAAAAUUAAACCAGAUACAUUAUUUAUUGCCUAGUCAUCGGAGGCAUCAAGUUUGCUAUCCUCGACCAAGAGCCAUCCUAUCCCUUGAAGAAUAUACGGUUUGAAGUUCACGUUACUGAACAAAUGAUGGAACAAAAAGAUCAUCAUAUUUAGGU